Molecule: ribosomal RNA, 384 nt
Filed under: uncultured bacterium
Lineage: Bacteria
Description: bacterial SSU rRNA
Rfam family: Bacterial small subunit ribosomal RNA
Source: RNAcentral
AUUGAACGCUGGCGGCAUGCUUUACACAUGCAAGUCGAACGGUAACAGGCCUUCGGGUGCUGACGAGUGGCGAACGGGUGAGUAAUGCAUCGGAACGUGCCCAAUCGUGGGGGAUAACGUAGCGAAAGUUACGCUAAUACCGCAUAAGCCCUGAGGGGGAAAGUGGGGGACCGCAAGGCCUCACGCGAAUGGAGCGGCCGAUGUCAGAUUAGCUAGUUGGUGGGGUAAAGGCCCACCAAGGCGACGAUCUGUAGCGGGUCUGAGAGGAUGAUCCGCCACACUGGGACUGAGACACGGCCCAGACUCCUACGGGAGGCAGCAGUGGGGAAUAUUGGACAAUGGGGGCAACCCUGAUCCAGCCAUGCCGCGUGUGUGAAGAAGGCC